This 1310-nucleotide ribosomal RNA is filed under the name Hevansia websteri. Its description in RNAcentral is "LSU rRNA". It matches the Rfam family "Eukaryotic large subunit ribosomal RNA", at positions 72 to 1414 of the family's 3401-position model. The record is from RNAcentral. Lineage: Eukaryota; Fungi; Ascomycota; Sordariomycetes; Hypocreales; Cordycipitaceae.
GGAUUGCCCCAGUAACGGCGAGUGAAGCGGCAACAGCUCAAAUUUGAAAUCUGGCCCUCGGGUCCGAGUUGUAAUUUGUAGAGGAUGCUUUUGGCGAGGUGCCUUCCGAGUUCCCUGGAACGGGACGCCAUAGAGGGUGAGAGCCCCGUCUGGUCGGACACCGAGCCUCUGUAAAGCUCCUUCGACGAGUCGAGUAGUUUGGGAAUGCUGCUCAAAAUGGGAGGUAUAUGUCUUCUAAAGCUAAAUAUUGGCCAGAGACCGAUAGCGCACAAGUAGAGUGAUCGAAAGAUGAAAAGCACUUUGAAAAGAGGGUUAAAAAGUACGUGAAAUUGUUGAAAGGGAAGCGCCUAUGACCAGACUUGAGCCCGGUGAAUCAUCCAGCGUUCUCGCUGGUGCACUUUGCCGGGCCCAGGCCAGCAUCAGUUUGGCGCGGGGGAUAAAGGUGACGGGAAUGUGGCUCCCUCGGGAGUGUUAUAGCCCGCUACGUAAUACCCUGCGCCGGACUGAGGUACGCGCAUUGCAAGGAUGCUGGCGUAAUGGUCAUCAGCGACCCGUCUUGAAACACGGACCAAGGAGUCGUCUUCGUAUGCGAGUGUUCGGGUGUCAAACCCCUACGCGUAAUGAAAGUGAACGCAGGUGAGAGCUUCGGCGCAUCAUCGACCGAUCCUGAUGUUCUCGGAUGGAUUUGAGUAAGAGCAUACGGGGCCGGACCCGAAAGAAGGUGAACUAUGCCUGUAUAGGGUGAAGCCAGAGGAAACUCUGGUGGAGGCUCGCAGCGGUUCUGACGUGCGAAUCGAUCGUCAAAUAUGGGCAUGGGGGCGAAAGACUAAUCGAACCUUCUAGUAGCUGGUUUCCGCCGAAGUUUCCCUCAGGAUAGCAGUGUUGAACUCAGUUUUAUGAGGUAAAGCGAAUGAUUAGGGACUCGGGGGCGCUAUAUUGCCUUCAUCCAUUCUCAAACUUUAAAUAUGUAAGAAGCCCUUGUUACUUAAUUGAACGUGGGCAUUCGAAUGUAUCAACACUAGUGGGCCAUUUUUGGUAAGCAGAACUGGCGAUGCGGGAUGAACCGAACGCGAGGUUAAGGUGCCGGAGUGGACGCUCAUCAGACACCACAAAAGGUGUUAGUACAUCUUGACAGCAGGACGGUGGCCAUGGAAGUCGGAAUCCGCUAAGGACUGUGUAACAACUCACCUGCCGAAUGUACUAGCCCUGAAAAUGGAUGGCGCUCAAGCGUCCCACCCAUACCUCGCCCUCAGGGUAGAAACGAAGCCCUGAGGAGUAGGCGGACGUGGAGGUCAGUGACGAAGCCUAGG